This 301-nucleotide ribosomal RNA is filed under the name uncultured bacterium. RNAcentral's name for it is "partial 16S ribosomal RNA". It matches the Rfam family "Bacterial small subunit ribosomal RNA", at positions 509 to 807 of the family's 1533-position model. The record is from RNAcentral.
CAGUAGCCGCGGGAAUACGUAGGGCGCAAGCGUUAUCCGGAAUUAUUGGGCGUAAAGAGCUCGUAGGCGGUUUGUCGCGUCUGCCGUGAAAGUCCGGGGCUCAACCCCGGAUCUGCGGUGGGUACGGGCAGACUAGAGUGAUGUAGGGGAGACUGGAAUUCCUGGUGUAGCGGUGAAAUGCGCAGAUAUCGGGAGGAACACCGAUGGCGAAGGCAGGUCUCUGGGCAUUAACUGACGCUGAGGAGCGAAAGCAUGGGGAGCGAACAGGAUUAGAUACCCCUGUAGUCCCUGUUUCUUAUAC